AGACGCCUGCUGCCCAUCCUGAGUGAAAAUAUAGUGAUCCUUCCAGACAUUUCUUUUGCAAAGCGCCACCUCUCGCAAGACACAGGAAAAUGACUCCCGCGUAUGGAUAUUUCGUUCUUGUGUUCCUUAUAGUGACCAUGUUCGCGGCAGAAGGAGAGGCGUGCGAACUUGCUAAACAACUCGUGAACCAAGCCUGCAAUAUGAUGGGGCGGGAGGAAGAAGCUGCCCUCAAGCAAGUUGAGUGAGCGACACCUCAACAGCGGUACCGGUCCGGUAGACUUCCGUAUCCAUGUGUGCUGAAUAAAUGA
This is a long non-coding RNA of Rhipicephalus sanguineus (brown dog tick), 308 nucleotides long. RefSeq lists it as uncharacterized. Lineage: Eukaryota; Metazoa; Arthropoda; Arachnida; Ixodida; Ixodidae. The transcript is spliced from 3 exons. The record is from RefSeq and is a predicted model, not a curated record.